AUAUAAAGUCUGACCUGCCCACUGAAAAUUUUAAAUGGCUGCAGUAAUUUGACUGUACAAAGGUAGCAUAAUCAUUAGUUUUUUAAUUAAAAGCUUGUAUGAAAGGUUGGACGAAGUAAAAUCUGUCUCUUUUUAAUAUAAUUAGAAUUUAAUUUUUAAGUAAAAAAGCUUAAAUUUUUAUAAAAGACGAGAAGACCCUAUAGAGUUUAAUAAUUUUAAUAAAAUAUUUAAUUAAGAUUUAUUAAUUUUAUUUAAUUAAAAUUAUUUUAUUGGGGUAAUAAAAAGAUUAAAAAAAUUCUUUUUUUUUAAUACAUUAAUUUAUGAAUAUAUGAUCCAUUUGUAGUGAUUAAAAGAUUAAAUUACCUUAGGGAUAACAGCGUAAUUUUUUUAAAGAGUUCUUAUCGAUAAAAAAGUUUGCGACCUCGAUGUUGGAUUAAAGAUUAAUUUAGGUGUAGAAGUUUAAAUUUUUGGUCUGUUCGACCAUUAAAUCUUUACAUGAUCUGAGUUCAAACCGGUGUAAGCCAGGUUGGUUUCUAUCUUUAUUAAUUUUUUAUAUUUUAGUACGAAAGGACCAAAUAUAAAAUAUAUAAAUAUUUUUAUUUUGAAUAUUAUUAAAUUAGUUAUUUUGGCAGAUUAGUGUAAUGAAUUUAGAAUUCAUUUAUGUAAAUAUUUUACAAAUAAUACUUGUUUAUAAAAGAUAUAAUUAUUUCUUUUAUUUUAAUUAUUUUAUUAAUUAUUUGUGUUUUAGUAGGUGUAGCUUUUUUAACUUUAUUAGAACG
Molecule: ribosomal RNA, 779 nt
Filed under: Trechisibus antarcticus
Lineage: Eukaryota; Metazoa; Arthropoda; Insecta; Coleoptera; Carabidae
Description: partial 16S ribosomal RNA
Rfam family: Bacterial large subunit ribosomal RNA (bases 1-564)
Source: RNAcentral